UCUGAAACUCCAAAUAUAGGUUGAACAUUGAAAAGUGCUUGGGUUACAGGACAAAUGUAGACUUUUGUUUUUUGUUGCUAAGACUUCAACUUAAAAAUGAAAGUAUCAAGUCUUGGGCUCUUCAUGAAUACAAGCCUAUUUCUUAGCUUUCCAUA
This is a non-coding RNA of Populus trichocarpa (black cottonwood), 155 nucleotides long. The record is from Rfam. Lineage: Eukaryota; Viridiplantae; Streptophyta; Magnoliopsida; Malpighiales; Salicaceae.